Triticum dicoccoides is the source of this 1731-nucleotide long non-coding RNA. RefSeq lists it as uncharacterized. The transcript has 4 exons. The record is from RefSeq and is a predicted model, not a curated record. NCBI's taxonomy places the organism in Eukaryota, Viridiplantae, Streptophyta, Magnoliopsida, Poales, Poaceae.
UGCAUAUGCCUUGCAUGCAAAUUUAAAUAUGAGGGAUUCAAGGGCUAGGUAGCAUGCUUCUACUUGACUGAAUUUAAGUAGGAGAGAUUAUCAAUUGCGUGCCGCGUCUUGUUGUACUUUCUGGGUUGUUUGAUUUCCUUUGGUGGUUUUUCAAAAUAAUCUUGAUUUAACCAUGAUUUGCUCUGGUGGUUUUUUGAAAUAGUCUUCGUUUCGCAAAGACAUCAUGGUGAUCGCGCCUGGAAUACUCAAUGUCUUCGCUUGUGGUUUGUGUUCUUCAGGUCUUCACUUGCCAUGAUAUAUCUCUGAUUUCUUCUUCUCUGUUCUAAUUAGAGUCUGUUCUGUUUGCACCAAUUCGAGAUAAUGGUCGUGGAAUGCAGCAGCCAAGACAACAAGAUCUAGCUCGACUUAGGACUGAUGACAAAUAAAAUUUGAUUCAGAUGGUUCCUUGCAUCUUCCUCUCAUAAUUAAACCUAAUAAUACAAUUUUUUGUGCUCUUGCUUCUGCAGAUUCUAAAGAAUUGAUUUGUUGUUCGGGCAUUUCGUGCAUUUGGAGUUCACAGAUAAUACCGACAAUUUCUCAAACGAGUCAGCAUUAUCAUUCAGUCAGUAGGUUACUAAAUAAAGCCGGAGUUCGCAUGGAGCACCAACGAUAACCUCAAGCAGAUGCAUCGAGACAGGCAAAUCAGAGUUUAUGGCACCCGAACUCUUCACUGGCAAUUUUAACGAGUUGGUGGACAUAUAUUCGUUUUGGAUGUGCAUGCCUGAAAUGAAAAGAAAAUGAUGGAAAAGUCUUGGACCUUGCUUAAUGCUUGGAACUACACCUUUCCAAACAUCCUUGUUGCUUGAUGCCAAGAGGAUUUCUCCAAGAGAUUGGAACUAUGUUCCUCUGCAGUUCUCCAUUCAGACAUUUCUAUGGUUAGAGCUUUCUUCUGACAAAAUUGUGCUGGUGUCUGGUUGUAAAACGUAUUUCCUAUUACAGCUGAGAAAGAGAGUAAGUAAAAAGGGUAAGCCAAGGGCUAGCCUAAAAUUCCAAAAGGACUAUUUCCUGAGGUAUUUGUCGCCGGCCAACCUGUCAUCAACCCAGGGUUGGUCGCUUGAACGACAUUCACUUCGAGGGAGUUUUGAUUAAAAGUUUGUGACUUGUCAUGCAUGGAACAUGCAUCUUUUGUUAACAUUUUCAUUGCAUUAUAUAUUAUAUAAAAGUGACAAAGUAGUGUUCUGGUCAUUGCUUUAGUAAAACAAAUAUACGUAGUAUAUGGUUAUGAAGUUGAAUGAAUGCUCAAUGGUCGGUUCAAGACUUCAAGAAAUUCAUAAUUUGUUCUGUGUGUUUUGAUUAAAAUGUGACCUAGCUCAGUUGCCAGACUGUGGAUAGAGGGAUGCAUGGCCACCACUUUGCCGGAAUACCAACAGUUAGCCAUUUUUUGGGUAUAGCUAUCAACUAGAAUCCAUUUUUUGGGUAUAGCUAUCAACUAGAAUCCACAGCUUCACAUUUCUCUUUGUUCAAAUGUUCUCUAAAUACAUGUAACUUAUAUGGCACAAUUUCGAUGCCACUUGUAAGUUGUAACUUCACAUGAUUUGGUGAUUUGUCAAAGAACGGCGGUGUCGGAGAAGACGAGGGGGAGGGGGCACUGAGCCAACAAAGGAGGCGGCUAUGGUAGGGCGAGCCGAUGAGGUGUAACACGUUAGCACUACUACGGGAGGGGAUCAAGGCAGAGAGUUGAGUGGUUGGUAG